Molecule: long non-coding RNA, 601 nt
Organism: Arachis duranensis
Lineage: Eukaryota; Viridiplantae; Streptophyta; Magnoliopsida; Fabales; Fabaceae
Exons: 2
Source: RefSeq, a predicted model, not a curated record
CAACCAAACCUGUUUCAGAGGAAAUCAUGGUCACCACUUCGUGAAAUCAAUGCAGCACCAGCUCAUCCUUCUCCACCUUCUAUACAUAUAUAUAGCAGAGUCGAGCCUUUCAAUUCCUCUGGAAACCACACAAAGAGAAGAAAAAGGAAGAAAAAGUGGCGAUUGCUCGAGGAAGAGGAGGAGGAAAACGUCAACGGGAUCAUCAUCAUCUGCGUACAUCACCAUCAAGAAGAAAGAGAAGGGCCAUCAAGGGAGUUGCUACCCGAAGCCAAAGAAGGAACCCUACCCCUUUUCCUUUAUGAUUUCCUUAGUGUUCUUCUUGUUGAGUAAGACCCAGUAACCUUUGUUCUUUCUUCUUUUUCCCCAAUCCAAAAAUUCAACUUUUAUUGUGCUCCAUUUCUUGCUAGAGUAACUGAAUUUCCCAAGAACUGCCACCUACAAGGGGUUCCUGAUUCAAGAAAACAAGAGAGCAAGAAUUGUGUUCUUGAGCAUCAAAAGAGGUAAGGGGUUAGGUGAUUAGAUUAGAGAUAUGUGUAGCUGACAGUUGUGAUUUUAUUGUUGAUGAUGAUUCUAUAUGAAUGUGUGGUAAUUGCUACUGGAA